AUCCUCCCCUUUUUGCGUUUGCUAUAGUGAUUUCAGCCUGUCUUUUCAGUGUGUGUCCCUGUUGGAUGCUGUUUUGGAUCUGUUUACUGCCCUCUCUGCAGGUAUGAGGAAGUUGUUUAGCAAUGUUUAGCUUUAACGUGGGUCGGGUGGCGUAAGUAAUGUGCAGUCCUUGAACUUCAGUUUAACAGCAGGUUAUUUGAAGGCUGCGUAUCCUGAGCGGUGAAUUGAUUCUCAGGAACUCAUCUAUCCGCGUUUGGUAAGUUGUUUGGGUUUGUUAUAGAGGGAAUUACGGCAUGUAGUUGUGCAAUUACUCGUAUCAUUUAUAUCUUGUAUCAUCGUUUGUAUUAUAGGAUCCUCCUUUUUCAUCCUGGGCGAUUAUUGCUGCAAUUCGGCUUUUCCUCCGCUGCGCGCCGAGUGAACAACCUCGGCUUACACCUAUUUAAAAUAAGACUUCUGCUGCCGUUUGGCUUUUGUGAUUGUUUUAACUGGUAUUUUCUGGCCUACUUUGGUCGAGCAAUGUGCAAGUAUCGGGGCUGGCUUAAGGACGACGUGGCCCCUCCUUUUGAGUCUUGCUUCCCUCAAACUUUUAAUAAAGUUUUUCAU
This is a long non-coding RNA of Silurus meridionalis, 603 nucleotides long. RefSeq lists it as uncharacterized. NCBI's taxonomy places the organism in Eukaryota, Metazoa, Chordata, Actinopteri, Siluriformes, Siluridae. The transcript is spliced from 2 exons. The record is from RefSeq and is a predicted model, not a curated record.